RNAcentral lists this transfer RNA (90 nucleotides) under Elusimicrobiota bacterium. Its description in RNAcentral is "Elusimicrobia bacterium (groundwater metagenome) tRNA-Ser". It matches the Rfam family "tRNA". Rfam says of the family: Transfer RNA (tRNA) molecules are approximately 80 nucleotides in length. Their secondary structure includes four short double-helical elements and three loops (D, anti-codon, and T loops). The record is from RNAcentral. Lineage: Bacteria; Pseudomonadati; Elusimicrobiota.
GGAGAGGUGCGUGAGCGGUUGAAACGAACGCUCUCGAAAAGCGUCAGGCGGGCAACCGCCUCGUGGGUUCGAAUCCCACCCUCUCCGCCA